CAGCAGCUAGCCUGAACGGCUUGAUUCUCUCUAGAAUCAAUUGGUUUAGCUCCUGCGAUGUUGUGUUUGCAAACUCGUUCUUUUCGAGUUGGGUAGAGUUCUACCAAAUGUUUUGUUGCAGUUCUAUACUGAAACGAGGCAUGUACUUCCUGUAUUUAUUUUGACCUGUCUGUCAAAUUUGUUUACACCGCCUUAUGGGCGGUGUUUUUUUAU
Vibrio splendidus is the source of this 213-nucleotide non-coding RNA. The record is from Rfam. NCBI's taxonomy places the organism in Bacteria, Pseudomonadati, Pseudomonadota, Gammaproteobacteria, Vibrionales, Vibrionaceae.